Molecule: long non-coding RNA, 527 nt
Filed under: Nicotiana benthamiana
Lineage: Eukaryota; Viridiplantae; Streptophyta; Magnoliopsida; Solanales; Solanaceae
Description: long non-coding RNA (NBEN_LNC036304)
Source: RNAcentral
AAACAAAAAUGCGUAAAAAAAUUACCAGUUCGAUCGUUCGAUUUAGAGAAGAUGAAGAAGGAGAAAUAUUAACUGCUGCUCAUUUGCAUGUAGAGAUGAUACAGAUGGUAAGAACACACGAAACUUGCCCUGAAAUAUUCGCUCUCAAAUUUUCCCUCUUCUGAAUGAAAAAAAACAACGCUUGGGAACAUAAGCAUUGAAGAAAAGGUAAAAGUGUCUUUUUUCUAUUAGUAGUGGCUAUUUUUGCUGAGCAUUAUCAUUAGUGGAUAAAAUUUAAAGACACUCUUAAUUAAUGGCGACUACACGCAUGUUUACGCUGUAUAAGGCUCCUUUUUGUCUCACAAAUUGUGACGACCCAAAGGGUCGCCACCUGUUAUUAAUCGAAUUCUAUGUCUUUGUUAGGGUUACUUGUCCUAAACUUUUAAACUUGUAUUUGUGAUUUUUACUUAGAGCAUUUGUAUCAUUAAACUGCAAUACUAUAUUUCAAAUGGAAAACUAAAAUAUUGGUCCGAAAAUGUUUUUAUAUU